GCAUAGAACCAAAUUUAAUCUUGAAAAGGAACAAUUAACUCAGAGAAAACAAUGGUUAAGGGUAUUAGAGAUAUUGUCUCACAUCGAAAGUUGAAUAGGGUCUUAAGUGGUAUAUAUAAGAUAUGGGUCUCUUCACCUAUUACCAAUUGAUUUUAGGCUGGAAGCCCACAAUCUAAUAAAAGGGAAGAUAACCAAAAGGAAAGUUUAACUCGAUGAAUGCUUACGCACCAAUAAACCGUCGAUGCCGACGAAAAAAUCCAUCUAUAAAAUGGCACAAGA
Molecule: small RNA, 279 nt
Filed under: Arabidopsis thaliana (thale cress)
Lineage: Eukaryota; Viridiplantae; Streptophyta; Magnoliopsida; Brassicales; Brassicaceae
Description: ATSL066960
Source: RNAcentral